UAAAAUGCCAUACUGAGCUGGUGAUUUAAAAAAUAAUUUUGUAUCAUUAGCACCCAUUUUGAAAAGCUCAAAAGAAUAAGGGCAUUGAACAAAAAUGAAAUGAAGCCAUAGCAAUUUUUUUUAGUUGUUGUUGUUGUUAGGUGCCGUCGAGUCGGUUCCGACUCAUAGCGACCCUGUAUACAACAGGAUGAAACAGUGCCCGGUCCUGAGCCCACCUCACAGUCAUCGUUAUGUUUGAGCCCGUUGUUGCAGCCACUGUGUCAGUCCGUCUCUUUGAGGGCCUUCUUCUCUAUCGCUGACCCUCUGCUUUACCAAGCAUGUGAUGGCCUUCUUCAGGGACUGAUCCCUUCUGAUAACAUGUCCAAAGUAUAUAAGAUGCAGUCUUACCAACGUUCCCUCUAAGGAGCAUCCUAAAAGAACUGAAAAAUCCUGAACGCUUAAAAGAUUGGAACUGUUCAAAUUUGCCUUCACGCUUUGUUAGCACACAAAAGAGUUUUUAGAGAAAUAAUAUAUCUGCAUGGUUUUAUGGUAUUUACAAUACUAUUUUUUAGAAUUUCACUUAUUUUCUUGAUUGAAUAUCACAGUUUUAAAUACUGACGUUUAGUGAACUCAGAAGCUCAGAGGCUGUGUGUAGUACCCUGCUCAGGCUUUGGGUCUGCUUUUUGUUGUUUUCGUACAGCUAUCAGCUAUAAAAGGAGCCCUGGAGGCGCGGUGGUUAAAGCGAUAGGCUGCUAACCAAGAGGUCAGCAGCUUGAAACCGCCAGCAGCUCCUCCGGAGAAAGAUGUGGCACUGUGCUUCUGCAGAGACCUACAGCCUUGGAAACCCUGUGGGGUCGUUAUGAGUCGGAAUCGACUCUAUGGCCCUGCGUUUUCUGGGUUUAUCAGCUGUAAACCCAAACAGUUAAAGCUCUUGGCCACUAACCGAAAGGUUGGACGUUCCAGCCUACCUAGAUGUGCUGAGAAAGAAAGGCCUGGUGAUCUCCUGAAAAAUCAUCCAUUGAAAACCCCGUGGAGCGCAGGUCUACUCGGACACACUCGGGGGCGCCAUGAGUCAGAGUCACUUGACAGCAGGUGGUGGUUUCUGGUUAUCAGCUGUGACGCUUUGUUAGGAGCUGUGACUCCUCGCUGCUGGCUUGCCUGCCUCUGUCAGUCUUUCUCACUUAAUUGAUUACAGAUUGGAACAAAGCAUCGUUAAACGAGUUAGUAUCAGGUCCCGCGAGUGCAUACUGUCUGCCUGAGGACGUAGAUAAAUAAACAGUUCGUUAUCUCAAGGACUUUGCCAUCUCCUGGGACAGGGAGGGGGACAAAACGAUUCUGUAACACCCUGUGGAGUUGCACAAGGCAAUGUAGAAUUGUGAGGGAGACAUGAGACGAGGAGCAUGGACUGAGUGAAGGGAAGGGGAGAAGCGCUUCUCAGUUGUUGCGAGCUGCUCUCGAGUCAGCUCUGACUCUUGGCUGCCGGCUCCCGCAGCGUCUCCAUGAUGGGUUGUGGACCAGGGUGUUGUGACGCACAGGGUUCCCACUGGUGGGUUUUCAGAAGUCGAUGGGCAGCCCUUUCUUCCUAGUCUGUUUCAGUCUGGAAGCCCCACUGAAACCUGUUCAGCAUCACAGCACAAAAGCCUCCCACCAACAGACGGGUGGUGGCUAUGCGUGAGGUGCUCUGGUCAGGAAUUGAACUCGUGGCAAUGCGUGAGGUGUUCUGGCCAGGAAUUGAACUCCUGUCUCCUGUGUGAAAGGUGACGCUUUUACCACGGAACCACCACUGCCCUCUUGACGACUGUAUUGGACAAUAGUUUGUUUCAAUCAGAGUAGACCUGUGCUCCAUAGAGUUUUCAAUGCUGAUUUUUUGGAAGUAGAUUGCCAGGCCUUUCUUCCAAGGCACCUCUGGGUGAACUCGAACCCCCACCCUUUUGAUAAGCAGCUGAAUGCAUGAACUGUUUGUGCCACUCAGAGAAGCCUAGCUCACGUGUGUGUCCCUAAAACCUCCAGAGGAAAGGAUUAAAAUUGUGUGCUUCAUCUCAGGGGUCUUCCGGGGACUGGCAGGAGGGUCCAUGAGCUCUCUGGACACACAGCGUGGUCUAUCCUGGGUGGACACCCAGCCUGAGCACUGUCUCCUUGUGACUCGUGAUGACUGCUUCCCUAUCCGUCUGCCAGAGCUCCCAGCCCUUGACAAGCCCCCCUCUGUCCCCACGUACUCCUUGCUGCCACUUGUUUGGGAAAAUAAAAGGUGCAGAAAGAACAUUUACGCCGCGGAGACGGGACCGCUCACCUUACCGACAUCUCCACGGCACGAAGAAUGGUCAGAGAUUAAGGGUUAAUGUGCAGGAUGGCAUGUCAAAUGCAACAGCAGCCGAGCGCAAAGGCAGCGGCCGUUUGCCCUGAUUCACGCUGCAAAUACUGCGUGCGAAGAAAGACGGGUGUCUUUGUAACAGACACGGAGGGGCUGGUGGAUCUGCCGAGACACCAAUGACGCCACUGUGAUUAAUUCUUCCGAGGCCUUUGAAAAUUAGAAGCAUGUCGUUAUGUAUAAUUUCUGCUGCAUCGUGGAAACGUGUGACGACCUAGAAAAUCAUGCUUCAGGCUGAUCCAAACAGAAACCGAAGGCCUGCGUGGGACAUAAAGUGAGGCUCUUGAGAAUUGUCGCUGCCAUCAAAUGGGCCCCGACUCACGGUGACCCCAAGCACAGCAGAAUGAAGUGCUACCUGGCCCUGAGCCGUCCUCAUGAUUGCAUUCGGAUUGGACCGUAGUGAUCCAAGGGGUUUUCGUUGGCUGAUUUUCAGAAGUAGCUCACCAGGCCUUUCUUCAUAGUGCCUCGUAGACUGGAAGCUCCGCUGAAGCCUGUUCAGCAUCAUAGCAAGAGGCAAGCCUCCACCGACAGGCAGGUAGCGGGGGUGCCUUGCCCAGGAAUUGAACCUGCGUCUCCCACAUGGAAGUCGAGAGCUCCGCCGCUGAACCACUAGUGCCCUCACACCGGGUGGUCAGCCUCUGUUUUAAUUUAAUGAGACAUUGUCUCCCUUUUGAGUGCCUUAAAUUCCCUUUGGGAGCAACUUUGUAACAUGUUUUGAGAGCCCUGAAAAGGCUCACAGUGUUGAUACAACAAUCCUAACUCUGCAAAGCUCUUCUAAGGAAAUAAUGCCAAAAAUGAGCACAAAUCUUCAUCACGGUAUGAGCUGUAAAGUGGUAAAUUGAAAGCAAUGGAGAUGACCGACGAUACAAGAACAGUUUGUUGGCGCUUUUACAUCAAAAUAGAUUGGUUUAAGAUGUACCCUACACCGAUACUGCCUCAUGGACGUAACGAAGAAAACCCACUCCCAGAAGGUAUUAUAACCACAUGUAUAAAAACCCGUUGCUAUCGAGUGGAUUCUGACUCACAGGAACCCUAUAGGACAGAGUAGAACUGCCCCAUAGGGUUGUUAAGGCUGUAGUCUUUAUGGCUGCGGAGUGCAUGGACAGGGAGCUGCCAGGAAUUCAAGCCGGAUUCAGAAGAGGAUGUGGAAUGAAGGAUGUCAUUACUGAAGUUAGAUGGAUCCUGGCUGAAAGCAGAGAAUACCAGAAGGAUGUUUACCUGUGUUUUAUUGACUAUGCAAAGGCAUUCGACUGUGUGGAUCAUAACAAACUAUGGAUAAUGCUGCAAAGAAUGGGAAUUCCAGAAGACUUCAUUGUGCUCAUGAGGAACCUUUACAUAGAUCAAGAGGCAGUUGUUCGGACAGAACAAGGGGAUGCUGAUUGGUUUAAAGUCAGGAAAGGUGUGCAUCAGGGUUGUAUCCUUUCACCAUACCUAUUUAAUCUGUAUGCUGAGCAAAUAAUCUGAGAAGCUGGACUAUAUGAAGAAGAACAGGGCAUCAGGAUUGGAGGAAGACUCAUUAACAAUCUGCGUUAUGCAGAUGACACAACCUUGCUUUGUGAAAGUGAAGAGGACUUGAAGCACUUACUGAUGAAGGUCAAAGACCACAGCCUUCAGUAUGGAUUACACCUCAGCAUAAAGAAAACAAAAAUGCUCACA
This is a long non-coding RNA of Loxodonta africana (African savanna elephant), 4003 nucleotides long. RefSeq lists it as uncharacterized. The transcript has 3 exons. The record is from RefSeq and is a predicted model, not a curated record. Lineage: Eukaryota; Metazoa; Chordata; Mammalia; Proboscidea; Elephantidae.